GCAGAUAUAGCUUAAUGGAUAAAGCCCCAGCUUACGAAUCUGGUGAAUUUGAGUUCGAGUCUCAAUAUCUGCUCCA
RNAcentral lists this transfer RNA (76 nucleotides) under Cronobacter phage LPCS28. RNAcentral describes it as "tRNA-Arg". It matches the Rfam family "tRNA". From Rfam's summary of the family: Transfer RNA (tRNA) molecules are approximately 80 nucleotides in length. Their secondary structure includes four short double-helical elements and three loops (D, anti-codon, and T loops). The record is from RNAcentral. Lineage: Duplodnaviria; Heunggongvirae; Uroviricota; Caudoviricetes; Pantevenvirales; Straboviridae.